RNAcentral lists this signal recognition particle RNA (100 nucleotides) under Chloroflexota bacterium. Its description in RNAcentral is "Chloroflexi bacterium (sediment metagenome) signal recognition particle sRNA small type". It matches the Rfam family "Bacterial small signal recognition particle RNA". Rfam says of the family: The signal recognition particle (SRP) is a universally conserved ribonucleoprotein involved in the co-translational targeting of proteins to membranes. Archaeal SRP consists of a 7S RNA and homologues of the eukaryotic SRP19 and SRP54 proteins. In most bacteria, the SRP consists of a 4.5S RNA and the Ffh protein (a homologue of the eukaryotic SRP54 protein). The record is from RNAcentral. Lineage: Bacteria; Bacillati; Chloroflexota.
GGAUGGGUCCGGCGCGGCAGAAACUCCCGAACCCCGUCAGGUCCGAGAGGAAGCAGCGGUAAGGAAGCUAUUCUGGGCGCCGCCGGGUUGCCUGUCCGGC